Molecule: ribosomal RNA, 320 nt
Filed under: Caridina coulaborensis
Lineage: Eukaryota; Metazoa; Arthropoda; Malacostraca; Decapoda; Atyidae
Description: partial 16S ribosomal RNA
Source: RNAcentral
AGGUAGCAUAAUAAAUAGUCUUUUAAUUGAAGUCUAGUAUGAAUGGUCGGACAUGAAGUAAGCUGUUUUAACUUUGAUGUUUGAAUUUUACUUUUAAGUGAAAAGGCUUAAAUUUAAUGGUGGGACGAUAAGACCCUAUAAAGCUUUACGUUUCAUUCUUCAGUUGUGGGGUUUAGGGUUUCUUAUUCUUAUUGAAUGUAACGUUUCGUUGGGGCGACGGAAAUAUAAAAUGGUAACUGUUUUAUUUUAAAAACACGUCUUUGUGGGAGAGUUGAUCCUUUUUAGAGAUUAUAAGAUUUAAGUUACUUUAGGGAUAACAG